GGAUGGGUGGCCGAGUGGUUGAAGGCGUACGAUUGGAAAUCGUAUAUAGGUGAAUAACUUAUCGGAGGUUCGAAUCCUCUCUCAUCCGCCA
Molecule: transfer RNA, 91 nt
Filed under: Candidatus Hepatincola sp. Av
Lineage: Bacteria; Pseudomonadati; Pseudomonadota; Alphaproteobacteria; Rhodospirillales; Candidatus Hepatincolaceae
Also listed under: 1 other name
Description: tRNA-Ser
Rfam family: tRNA
About the family: Transfer RNA (tRNA) molecules are approximately 80 nucleotides in length. Their secondary structure includes four short double-helical elements and three loops (D, anti-codon, and T loops).
Source: RNAcentral